AUGAACCAUGAAUACAAAAGAUCGGAAAUGUCCGUUCGUUCUUCUCCACCUGAUGACAAAGUGCCCGGUCUCAAUGAUAAUAAAAGGUUGAAGGAUGUGGCUGAACUAAGCAGGGUAAUCCGAGAAGGAUUGAAUAAGGGUAAGACUUGCGAGGAUGAUCGUGUUGAUGAAAGUGAUUCUAUAGAAGUGAAAGAUCUGGGCCAUUCAUCUAUGGGGGGCUAUUUGCUCUUCUUGUGCAACCUUCUUCUUCAUCCUUCUGCGGAUCCUGCAUUUUUUUUUACUUCUCCCAAGGAAAGUAAUAGUCAAGCACUAUGCUCCCAGGCAACAACACCAGAAAAAGCUUUGCAAAAAUGA
RNAcentral lists this ribosomal RNA (354 nucleotides) under Triticum aestivum (bread wheat). RNAcentral's name for it is "partial small subunit ribosomal RNA". The record is from RNAcentral. Lineage: Eukaryota; Viridiplantae; Streptophyta; Magnoliopsida; Poales; Poaceae.